UGUCCUUUUGGUAAUAAUAUAAGGUCUAAUCUGCCCACUGAUUUAAUAUUAAAGGGCUGCAGUAUAUUGACUGUACAAAGGUAGCAUAAUCAUUAGUCAUUUAAUUGAUGACUUGUAUGAAAGAUUGGAUGAAAUAUUAGCUGUCUCUUAAUUAAAAAUAGAAUUUAAUUUUUUAAUUAAAAAGUUAAAAUAGUUUAAAAAGACGAGAAGACCCUAUAGAGUUUUAUAAAUAAAUUAAUUGAGGUUAUUUAUAUUUAAUAAAAUUAAAAUUAGUUUAAUUAUUGUGUUGGGGUGAUAGAAAAAUAUAUUUAACUUUUUUUAUAUUUAAAACAUUUAUAAGUGGUUAAAUGAUCCAAUAUUAUUGAUUAUAAGAAAAAAUUACCUUAGGGAUAACAGCGUAAUUUUUUUUUUUAGUUCAUAUAAGAAAAAGAGUUUGCGACCUCGAUGUUGGAUUAAGAUAAAAUUUAAAUGCAGAAG
RNAcentral lists this ribosomal RNA (477 nucleotides) under Sesamia mediostriga. Its description in RNAcentral is "partial 16S large subunit ribosomal RNA". Lineage: Eukaryota; Metazoa; Arthropoda; Insecta; Lepidoptera; Noctuidae. The record is from RNAcentral.